Molecule: long non-coding RNA, 1777 nt
Organism: Peromyscus leucopus (white-footed mouse)
Lineage: Eukaryota; Metazoa; Chordata; Mammalia; Rodentia; Cricetidae
Exons: 3
Source: RefSeq, a predicted model, not a curated record
UCACCUGGUAACCAUGCACAUGGUCAUCAAUCCAUCCUCUAAUGCAGCCCUGCUGGGUAAAACAAGCUGGGAUCUCACUGGGGAACCUUUGUGGGCCUUCACACUCUCCAUACCUGUCACUCUUCCUACUCUAGCCUCCCUCGUGUGCCGUGUAACGUCCAUCCCUGCCACUCCCAUCCGGUCCUCACACACUGACUUCCAACACCCUUCAAGUCAGACUUUCCACCAAGCUGCUUCGGUUGUCCACAGCUCCAUUCUUUUCCGAAUGCUUGUUCCGUCUCUGUAUGCUUUCACGCUUAAUCAUAGACUCCUUGUUACUGUAUUAUUUAUGUCAUAUAAUUAUCCUCCCAUAUAUGUGCUUUCCCAUACAAAUUGGAUUAUGUGGACAAAACUCUAGUUCUUUGCUCAACAGAUACUUAGAUAAUGUCUUACUUAGCUCAUACUGGGCCUGAUGCAAGAUUUGGAACUAGACACACCACACACACACACACACACACACACACACACACACACACACCACUGAAUGCAUGAAUGAGUUCAGGUCAAACCAUGCCACUCAGCUUGGUGCCUGAGAACUUCAAAAGGGAGAAAUACCCAGCCAGGAUUUCCUUGAUUUGGAGCAGAAAAAGGACAUGCCACCAUGGCAGCUUUUAACAUGUGACCUUCUGGAGGGGGGCUCAGGAAACCCCAAGGGACAAUUCCUUCCACAUCCAGGGAGUUUGCUUUCUGCUGACUGCUCCAUGGCAGUUCCUGAUUUGGGGAGUUCUCAUAUGCCUCCUUCACUAUUCCUUUCCAAGAGACAGCCCAGCGGAAGGCCGGGCCAGAGCCUCCUCUCUCCACUGAGUUUGACACACCCGCUUGCUCGCUCUCUACCAAGCUUCCUCAUAUUCUUGUCCCUCGGGGCCAGCAACUAACCUAAUAUUCCCACCAGACAGAAUUCCUUCCUGAAGACACUGGGCUUCGGAAACAGCAAUCAGAACACUGCCUCUCUCUGCAAUGUGUGGGCAGCUGAGCUCUGCCAGGGGAGCUGAGGCCGAGAGAGAGGCCAGGCCUCUGCAUGGUUUCCUGAGCCUGCAUCUUGUUUGGGGAUGGGUUCUGCUGUGCUGUGCUCCCUGCUCUCCGGGCUGGAGCUCCAGUGCGGUGAGCCACAUCCUGAAGACUUCCAGCUUGGCACUGCUGCCCAGGACGCUCUUUUCCUCUUUGCGACAGCCCAGAGCAUCGAUGCCCAGGAAGGCCUCAAAGAAUGGUAAAACUGGGCUGUGCAUCACUCUAAAUGGGAUGGUGCUGACUGAGGAUGCUUCCUGAGGAAGAGGCUCAGCAUCCCACCUUCCCCUGUACACUAUGCCCCUAGAAGGACCUGACCUGUCUACCUGUGGGUAAGAGCACAUGGCCCUGCGCCUGGCUGCUUUGGCGUUUCCCUUUACUUCUGUAGUCCUGUCUCCUCAGCGUCCCUCUGAGUUGAGGGGAGAGGAGCAGACUGUGGCCAGGAACAGACAGUGCAGGGGAGAUCACCUACACAACCAUUGAUAAACGUGGGUGCCAAAGCACUCUCAGGAAUGGUGCUGACAGCCUGGUGGUGCGGUAUUUGAAGGCUGUUUCAGAAGACCACAAAAAUGUCACCAUUGGCCUCUGAGUAAAGCCCAUGGCCUGUCCAGUGCCAAUGUCCUAGGUUAGUGUGUUUCAGUCAGCAUUCAGUAAGAUGUUGACACCGGGAGCCGGGUGUGGUGGUUCACACCUGUAAUCCCAGCACUUUGGAAGACAGACAGAGGCAGGAAGA